RNAcentral lists this transfer RNA (71 nucleotides) under human gut metagenome. It matches the Rfam family "tRNA". From Rfam's summary of the family: Transfer RNA (tRNA) molecules are approximately 80 nucleotides in length. Their secondary structure includes four short double-helical elements and three loops (D, anti-codon, and T loops). Further hydrogen bonds mediate the characteristic L-shaped molecular structure. tRNAs have two regions of fundamental functional importance: the anti-codon, which is responsible for specific mRNA codon recognition, and the 3' end, to which the tRNAs corresponding amino acid is attached (by aminoacyl-tRNA synthetases). tRNAs cope with the degeneracy of the genetic code in two manners: having more than one tRNA (with a specific anti-codon) for a particular amino acid; and 'wobble' base-pairing, i.e. permitting non-standard base-pairing at the 3rd anti-codon position. The record is from RNAcentral. RNAcentral also lists the same sequence under 1 other name.
GGGAUAUAGCUCAGUUGGUAGAGCGCUUGAAUGGCAUUCAAGAGGUCAUGGGUUCGAUUCCCACUAUCUCC